AGAGUUUGAUCAUGGCUCAGGACGAACGCUGGCGGCGUGCUUAACACAUGCAAGUCACGGGGGCCCGCAAGGGCAACCGGCGAACGGGUGCGUAACACGUGAGCAACCUGCCGCGCUCUGGGGGAUAGCCGGCCCAACGGCCGGGUAAUACCGCAUAUACUCUUUGGUCGGCAUCGAUCGAAGAGGAAACCUCCGGGGGAGCGCGAGGGGCUCGCGGCCUAUCAGCUAGUUGGUGAGGUCAAGGCUCACCAAGGCGACGACGGGUAGCUGGUCUGAGAGGAUGGCCAGCCACAUUGGGACUGAGAUACGGCCCAGACUCCUACGGGAGGCAGCAGUGGGGAAUCUUGCGCAAUGGCCGAAAGGCUGACGCAGCGACGCCGCGUGUGGGAGGAAGCCCUUCGGGGUGUAAACCACUGUUGCCCGGGACGAAACGCCUUUUUCGAGAGGCUUGACGGUACCGGGUGAGGAAGCACCGGCUAACUCCGUGCCAGCAGCCGCGGUAAUACGGAGGGUGCGAGCGUUGUCCGGAAUCACUGGGCGUAAAGGGCGCGUAGGUGGCGUGGUAAGCGUGCGGUGAAAGCCCGGGGCUCAACUCCGGGUCUGCCGUGCGAACUGCCGCGCUUGAGCACGGUAGAGGCCAAUGGAAUUCCGGGUGUAGCGGUGGAAUGCAGAGAUCCGGAAGAACACCGGUGGCGAAGGCGGUUGGCUGGGCCGUUGCUGACACUGAGGCGCGACAGCGUGGGGAGCAAACAGGAUUAGAUACCCUAGUAGUCC
Molecule: ribosomal RNA, 774 nt
Filed under: uncultured bacterium
Lineage: Bacteria
Description: bacterial SSU rRNA
Rfam family: Bacterial small subunit ribosomal RNA
Source: RNAcentral